This 1192-nucleotide long non-coding RNA is filed under the name Homo sapiens (human). RNAcentral describes it as "HSALNT0356194". The record is from RNAcentral. Lineage: Eukaryota; Metazoa; Chordata; Mammalia; Primates; Hominidae.
UGUUUGAGGUCACACAGGAACGGAGGUGAAGAAAGAGUCACGGGUGGGGCGUGAGGGGCUGCUCACCGUGGCCGGAGUGGAGAGUUUAAAGUAGAGAGUGCCGGGACCGUGCUAUUUAUUUCUGGAGCCCGAGGCCACCUCCCCUUAGGAGAUGAUGCGCAGGGCCAGGCUGAGGCAGAAUUGUGGGCCUUUUCAGAUUAAUGCCAAGAAAAUAUAUGCAGAAGAGACACCCAUGUCAUUGAACAAGAGGUUCUAAUAUUACAUAACAGGGUAGUGGUAUGUAGCUGUAGUGGUAUGUGCUCUCUCUCAAUGCUGAGCUGCAGCUCCCAGUCAGCCACUGGAUCAUGAGGGUAAAAUACGGAUACUUGACAUCUUCUUAAAGAACAUCAUGCCUGCUAAGCCAUCCAGUUUGGAUGCCCCAGUGCCUUCCACCAGCCAUUCUCAAGCCUCAUUAGAAGAGAGAGAUUGAUGACCCUGUAGCUGCAGCAUCCCAUCAUCCUGCAUUUUAGUUCAAUGCUUCAAACGUUCUUCAGGCCCAGUGUGCUUUCAGCUGUGUAUGUUAAUGGGAGAGUGAGCAAGUUUCGUCCUUGUGCCUGCAUCUGCUGGGAAACGAUAAGAGCCCAACAUAUGUUAGAAGCAACAAUCGCAGACAAAGAGUACAACUUGUUUUUGAAGACUCAAACUGAAACACUGGCCCUUCCUGAGUCUCAAGCCUGCUGGCCUUUGGGCUGGAACUAAACCCUCAGCUCUCCUGUGUCUCCAACCUGCCCGCUCUGCCUAGUGAUCUUGGGACUUCCCAGACUUUAUAAUCAUGUGCAUCUCCUGCUGUUCCCAAUCUACUCAUCCUAGGAACCAACUCAGGUCAGGAGAAGCAAGGAAAGCCUUACAACCUGUUACUGACCGGAGGGGAUGAAGGAGACAGGGAAACUACAACACAUGGAAUGUGGUAUCCUGAAUGGGACCCUGGAACCAAAGAAUGACACUGGGGAAGAACUGCUGAAAUUCAAGUAAAAUGUGGAGUCUCGUUAGUGGCAAUGUACCAAGGCUACAAACCUGUACAGCAUGUGAUUCUACUGAAUAUACGGGCAAUUGUUAACACAAUGAUGUGAUGACUGAUUUCCAGCAGCUGAAGGGAAGUCUUUUGGAUUAACUUUUGUGAUUGAUUUGCUCUGGGUUCAGUCAGCCUGCAAGG